GGGUCUGUGGCUCGGUGGUAGAGCACUUGCUUUCCAUGCAAAAGGUUCCUGGUUCCAUCCCCAGCAUCUCCA
Podarcis lilfordi (Lilford's wall lizard) is the source of this 72-nucleotide non-coding RNA. NCBI's taxonomy places the organism in Eukaryota, Metazoa, Chordata, Lepidosauria, Squamata, Lacertidae. The record is from the annotation of a GenBank genome assembly.